RNAcentral lists this ribosomal RNA (468 nucleotides) under uncultured bacterium. RNAcentral describes it as "partial 16S ribosomal RNA". It matches the Rfam family "Bacterial small subunit ribosomal RNA", at positions 28 to 507 of the family's 1533-position model. The record is from RNAcentral.
GACGAACGCUGGCGGCGUGCUUAACACAUGCAAGUCGAACGGAAAGGCCCUGCUUUUGUGGGGUGCUCGAGAGGCGAACGGGUGUGUAACACGUGAGUAACCUGCCCUUGACUGUGGGAUAACUUCAGGGAACUGGGGCUAAUAUCGGAGAGGAGCUCCUGCUGCAUGGUGGGGGUUGGAAAGUUUCGGCUGUGGUGGAUGGACUCGCGGCUUAUCGGCUUGUUGGUGGGGUAGUGGCUUACCAAGGCUUUGACGGGUAGCCGGCCUGAGAGGGUGGCCGGCCACAUUAGGACUGAGGUACGGACCAGACUGCAACCGGAGGCAGCGGUGGAGAGUCUUGCACAGUGGGCGGACGCCUGAGGUGACGACGCCGCGUGCGGGAUACCGUCCUUCGAGUUGUGAACCACUUUCGACUGUGACAAGGAGUGAGUGACGGUAAUGGGUAAAGAAGCACCGGCUAACUACGUG